UGGUGGAGUGAUUUGUCUGGUUAAUUCCGAUAACGAACGAGACCUUAACCUGCUAAAUAGUCAGGCUGUCUUUGGAUAGUCGCCGACUUCUUAGAGGGACUGUCAGUGUCUAACUGACGGAAGUUUGAGGCAAUAACA
This 138-nucleotide ribosomal RNA is filed under the name uncultured eukaryote. RNAcentral's name for it is "partial 18S ribosomal RNA". It matches the Rfam family "Eukaryotic small subunit ribosomal RNA", at positions 1299 to 1458 of the family's 1831-position model. The record is from RNAcentral.